This 200-nucleotide unclassified non-coding RNA is filed under the name soil metagenome. RNAcentral describes it as "partial contains internal transcribed spacer 2 and large subunit ribosomal RNA". The record is from RNAcentral.
UGUUCGAGCGUCAUUUCAACCCUCAAGCCCAGCUUGGUAUUGGGUGUCACCUGGUAAUGGUGUACCUUAAAAUCAGUGGCGGUGCCAUCUGGCUCUAAGCGUAGUAAUUUAUCUCGCUAUUGGGUCCGGUGGUUGCUUGCCAAUAACCCCCAACUUCUAAGGUUGACCUCGGAUCAGGUAGGGAUACCCGCUGAACUUAA